AGGAACUGGUCUGAUUGAAGGUGUAACAAUGUACAGUCACAGAAACUCUACCUAUAAUACAGGAUCAAGUAGUAGUUAUGGUCCUAGUAGAGCCUAUAGUGGUGGUGGUGGUGCAAGCUUAUCUAGCAGUUACAAGUCUAGGCAGAAUUUAUUACAAUGUUCUCACUGUGGAUGCAAAAGUCACUCAAAAGAGCAAUGCUAUAAAAUUGUUGGCUAUCCAGCAG
RNAcentral lists this long non-coding RNA (224 nucleotides) under Solanum tuberosum (potato). RNAcentral describes it as "long non-coding RNA (STUB_LNC005667)". The record is from RNAcentral. Lineage: Eukaryota; Viridiplantae; Streptophyta; Magnoliopsida; Solanales; Solanaceae.